UACAGUGGCGUACGGGUGAGUAACACGUGGGGGAUCUACCUUUUGGUGGGGAAUAACUCUGGGAAACCGGAGCUAAUACCGCAUAGACCUUGAAAGAGGGAAAGCAGCAAUGCGCCGGGAGAGGGCCCCGCGGCCGAUUAGCUAGUUGGUGAGGUAACGGCUCACCAAGGCGAAGAUCGGUAGCCGGCCUGAGAGGGCACACGGCCACACUGGCACUGAAACACGGGCCAG
Molecule: ribosomal RNA, 231 nt
Filed under: uncultured bacterium
Lineage: Bacteria
Description: partial 16S ribosomal RNA
Rfam family: Bacterial small subunit ribosomal RNA
Source: RNAcentral